RNAcentral lists this ribosomal RNA (700 nucleotides) under Micromonospora sp. RNAcentral's name for it is "bacterial SSU rRNA". It matches the Rfam family "Bacterial small subunit ribosomal RNA", at positions 59 to 778 of the family's 1533-position model. The record is from RNAcentral. Lineage: Bacteria; Bacillati; Actinomycetota; Actinomycetes; Micromonosporales; Micromonosporaceae.
AAGUCGAGCGGAAGGCCCUUCGGGGUACUCGAGCGGCGAACGGGUGAGUAACACGUGAGCAACCUGCCCUAGGCUUUGGGAUAACCCUCGGAAACGGGGGCUAAUACCGAAUAUGACCUCGCAUCGCAUGGUGUGUGGUGGAAAGUUUUUCGGCCUGGGAUGGGCUCGCGGCCUAUCAGCUUGUUGGUGGGGUGAUGGCCUACCAAGGCGACGACGGGUAGCCGGCCUGAGAGGGCGACCGGCCACACUGGGACUGAGACACGGCCCAGACUCCUACGGGAGGCAGCAGUGGGGAAUAUUGCACAAUGGGCGGAAGCCUGAUGCAGCGACGCCGCGUGAGGGAUGACGGCCUUCGGGUUGUAAACCUCUUUCAGCAGGGACGAAGCGUAAGUGACGGUACCUGCAGAAGAAGCGCCGGCCAACUACGUGCCAGCAGCCGCGGUAAGACGUAGGGCGCGAGCGUUGUCCGGAUUUAUUGGGCGUAAAGAGCUCGUAGGCGGCUUGUCGCGUCGACCGUGAAAACCUGGGGCUCAACCCCAGGCCUGCGGUCGAUACGGGCAGGCUAGAGUUCGGUAGGGGAGACUGGAAUUCCUGGUGUAGCGGUGAAAUGCGCAGAUAUCAGGAGGAACACCGGUGGCGAAGGCGGGUCUCUGGGCCGAUACUGACGCUGAGGAGCGAAAGCGUGGGGAGCGAACAGGAU